RNAcentral lists this ribosomal RNA (458 nucleotides) under uncultured beta proteobacterium. RNAcentral's name for it is "bacterial SSU rRNA". It matches the Rfam family "Bacterial small subunit ribosomal RNA", at positions 202 to 641 of the family's 1533-position model. Lineage: Bacteria; Pseudomonadati; Pseudomonadota; Betaproteobacteria. The record is from RNAcentral.
GAAAGCAGGGGAUCGCAAGACCUCGCGCUCAUGGAGCGGCCGAUGUCGGAUUAGCUAGUUGGCGGGGUAACGGCCCACCAAGGCGACGAUCCGUAGCUGGUCUGAGAGGAUGAUCAGCCACACUGGGACUGAGACACGGCCCAGACUCCUACGGGAGGUAGCAGUGGGGAAUUUUGGACAAUGGGCGAAAGCCUGAUCCAGCAAUGCCGCGUGAGUGAAGAAGGCCUUCGGGUUGUAAAGCUCUUUCAGUUGGGAAGAAAAGAUUGUGAUGAAUAAUCGCAAUUUAUGACGGUACCGAAAGAAGAAGCACCGGCUAACUACGUGCCAGCAGCCGCGGUAAUACGUAGGGUGCUAGCGUUAAUCGGAAUUACUGGGCGUAAAGGGUGCGCAGGCGGUUCUGUAAGUCAGAUGUGAAAUCCCCGGGCUUAACCUGGGAACUGCGUUUGAAACUACAAAGC